GAGCUGGGAAGGUUUGCGACUGAGCCAACGCACAGCGGGAGUGUUGCAUUGCUGCGGUGCAGAGCCUCGCGUGGUGCCCAGCAGUGCACCUCAUGUCAGCGAAUAGAGGGGGAAGAUGGUGCAGCUCCUUGGGGGAUGAAGCUGCCUGGGGGUGAGUUUGUGUAGGGAAAGGGGGAAAUGCAAAAGUGCAGGUGUUGCUUGGAGUUGGAGCCUCUUUAUCCAGGGUCAGGAGGUUAAUGGAAGCACAGCGCCUCGAGCGAGGCGGUCUUACCAAGAGAAAAAGGAAAAAAAAAGGAAAUUAAAUAUUUACCGGGUGAGAGAAAUGCCAAUUGGCAGAUUAAACACGCAGCCCCUUUGUUAUCAUUCCAGUAAUUCCAGGACAAAAAAAAAGUCAGAGCCGAAUGGGGAACCGAAGCGAUGGUGCAAACCUCACACCUGUGCAAAGCAGGAGGGGACGUGUGCUGCCUGCAGCUCCGCAGGGAACAGCAGCCCUGAGAGCACUGCCAUUGGUUUUCCACAUCCUUUUCCAGCUCAGGAGCCGCUGGAUGUACCGAGGAUGUCAUGCUUGCAGUGAUGGGGUAUGAGCUGCUGUAGGAGCUCUGUGCCUCGGAUCCCUGCAGCCGGGAUGGUUUGCACCGAGUCACAGCUGGCUCCUGUAUGCGCAGUGAGAAACGGUUUUCCCCAGCCCUGAUAACGUUACUGUGCAAUGGGAGCCACCCAAGGUAUGGCCAAUGGCGACGGUCUCAUCUCACUGCAGGACUGAGUUUUGAAGAGUGACAUAGAAAAAACACUCCCGUUCCCAGUUUUGAUGGAGCUGGUGGGCAGAACGAGUCUUUCUCCCUUGAGAGCAGUAUAGCCUGAGCCCUAAGGGGCAGAGACCGCUUGGAGGUACAAUGGACUGACGUUCGUGUGGCUCGUGCCCUCUCUGUUGAGGAUGCAAACAGAGUGCUGGCUUGCAGACUUCAAAAGACAGAUGUUGUCCUGCUAACACUUCAGCUGUCUGUGUCAGUGAGGCGCAGGAGUGACACUGCGACCCUCAGUGACAGAGGGCUUCAUCCGACACCCCAUUGCACUCCAUGGCUUUUGUACGUACUGCUUUCCCCUGGGACACGCUGUGUUUUUACAGCCAGCUGAAUGGCAGCUGAUAUAAUCAGGAGCACUGCGAGCAACAAUUCCUCAGGGCUGUAACUCACAUGGGCUGCCGUGUUUGUUCUUCCCAGGGAGAGAAGCCCUUAACAAAGGCAUGGACCAUUCCGUAUGUAUUGCUCAAUAGGAUAACUUCUGCUCUCAGUUUACAAGCCUGAAAACAAAGUAUACAUGAUACCAUCAAACUGCUUCAUUCCAAAGCCUGCUGCUCCUUCAAACGUCAAGGCUGUAACCUUCAGACACUACACUGAGCUCUGAACCUUUGCAUUCCUGGGGAUGCUGUUUAGACCUCGCUGUGCUUUAGGGCAGUGGGUGAGCUCAUACCGCGGUCCUGAGAGAAGCCCAGCAGAGGAGGAAUGAUGCCACGUGGUGUUCUGCAUGCUGCUGAAAGCUGCAUUCCCUUCGUAGCCUGUUUCUGAACCUUAAAUGUGCUCAGCUCGUGUUUGCAAGUGCCUCAUGCUUGAAGUCUCAGGGACUGGCCUUCUUUAAUUAAAUGAAGACGUACUCUUAACCACCUGAUUGCAGGUGUGAGAUCUUUAAGAAAAAUGGCAGAGAUUUGCAAAUAAACCAGGAGAGUCAGAAAGGGAAAGCAACCAAGGAUCUCAGUGCCUGUGAGCUGGUGAUGAAGCACCGCCAGAGGCCUUCCCCUUGCUCCUGCUUUGACCCCCUUCUCAGCGAGCUGCUCAACCUCUCAGGAGUAAAUCUGCCAACCUUACUCUUCCUGCAGGACAAGUGGCCAUUUCAGCACGGGCCAACAACAAUGAGCUGUGCUUUCAGGGUCAGAAAAAUGUGAUGCUCCUCAUAAAACAUGCUGAGUCCCAUCCCAGCUGCCUUCUGUCCGGGUGGAAUGCAAGAGGAGCCGUCCCAGAAGCAUCAGGCCGUGGCAUUGGGAUCCAUCUUCACCAAGCCUUGAAGACAUCGGGGGUGGGGAUGGAGCUGAUGCCCGAGAGGAGCUUCACGUUGGAGGAAAGAGGCAACAAACGGUGCAGAAGAUCACCUGCCCCAACCAGGGAGGUGUAAGGCCCCAUCCCUGGCAAUCCCACCUGUGCUUGGCUGUGGUGUGGUGGUGUUUUAUGACGUAUGCAACCCAAAAGUCGGAACCGGCACAGAUUCUCCUUCCGAUCCCCACAGUGCUGCUUUGCAAACUGACCCCCAGCGUGACCUGACCAGGAACCAGAGCUGGAGCUGCGUUUAGUUUCCUGUCCUUCAUGUGGAUGCAAAAUCAGUUUGUAAAGCUUGCAGCCUCUCUUAAGCACGAGGGCCAAAGGAAGGUGUACCCCAUCUCCUUGUCUAAACGGGGUUCAAUGCUCGCAGAGUGGGAUCCAUGUUUCCGGCCUAAGCCAUUCUGUGAUUCAUCCCAAGGUCCAUGGGCGUCUCUGGAGGUAGGUGACACAGCUCCAUCCAUGCUUUGAUGAUGAGAACAGGCUGAUAAGUGCUGCUUUCAGUUAGGAAAAUGGAGACAGGCUUGAAAGGCCUUCUACAAAACCAGCGGCCAGCAAAGAAGAGGGGGAAAUUUUGCCCAUGAAUUAUUAACUUGAUUAUUAUAGAAGUAAUUAAGCCCUGAUAGGUGCUCCCAAGGGAAACAGCACAGCCAAAGGCCGAAUAAGAUGGGGAAAAAAAGCCUGUUCAAAAGCACGGUCUGGAACUGAGCCAGAUGCCAACCUAUGGGGGAACGUGGAUAGGAACCCCCCCCCCAAAAAAAACAUCUCCAAUUAUUUUUCCUUAGACUUCCUGAUGGUUCCCCUAAACCAGGCAGGGUCGGUCUCCUCAGUGGCAAACUGGGGUGGGAUCUGCAGGUGGGCUGGGGCUUUCCCAGGUGUUCCAAGGAGGCCACAGAAAAAUAAGUGCUGAAUGACGCAGUGGGAACUUCUGUGCAGAUUCACAUCUUGCCAUGGUCCUGUUGUUCUCUGCAGCUCUCUGCCCACUCCUCUGCAGCUGAACACUGCGGGUUUCGGGGUGAGGAUGCUGCGGAGCUGCUGAGUCCUGUUUCUUGAUGAAACUCCGGGGCCAAACGUGCUCAGAGGGAGCUCUCAGUGUGAAUGGUUUCCAGAUGGGACCACGCAGAGGUGGUUUGACUUUCCCUGUGAGACGAUUUGGGCUCAAGUUUUUGCCUUGGUAACAGGGGCAGGGCUCAGGAUCAGAAGGAACCAGCCCAAGGCAGCCCCACGGUGUGGUUUUUGGCACAAGGUCUGAUCUGCAGGUGGCAGAAUAUCUACCACCGGCUCAAAGCUGUUGGUUUGAAAGCUGUGGCAAGCUUGGGCAGAAGAGGUGGUGGAGCCUCUGGUUUGCUCUGCUGAGUCUGGGCCCAUGGCUUGGUUGGAUACAGCCAUCUGAGCCGUUGGUAGCUGUGUUUGGGUGGUACUUGCACCAUGUGAGCUCAAAGCACCAUGCCUUUCUAGGACCUGCCAUCCAGGCAAAUGAGAGGCUCUCAGAAAGUGAGUUUCAUCUGAAAUCCGUGUCAACAGUUAGGCAAAUUUUGAGUGAGAGCAGCUUUACAAAUGGCGAGUAUUGGUCAUAAGAAGUAUCGCUGUUUUCACAUUACACAAAGCCUUCCUCGUUCAUCUGCAGAGCUUCAGUUUUGCUUCAGUGAGGGGAAAGAGAGGUCGUUAACAGCAUGUUCCUAUAAUGCUGUUGCAGGAGACUCAGAAAAGGGACCCAAGCCCUCACUGUAGCCUGCUGCUGGCUGUUAUGCAGGACCACUGUGCUGGGACUCCAAUGGAAGGAGCUCUUCUGCUGCACUGCCUUCGUAGCUGCAGAAAC
Long non-coding RNA from Gallus gallus (chicken), 3906 nucleotides. RefSeq lists it as uncharacterized. The record is from RefSeq and is a predicted model, not a curated record. The transcript has 3 exons. Lineage: Eukaryota; Metazoa; Chordata; Aves; Galliformes; Phasianidae.